This 259-nucleotide ribosomal RNA is filed under the name uncultured bacterium. RNAcentral describes it as "partial 16S ribosomal RNA". It matches the Rfam family "Bacterial small subunit ribosomal RNA", at positions 524 to 776 of the family's 1533-position model. The record is from RNAcentral.
UACAGGGGGGGGCAAGCGUUGUUCGGAAUUACUGGGCGUAAAGGGCCAGUAGGCGGCCAACUAAGUCACACGUGAAAUCCCCCGGGCUUAACCGGGAACCGUGCGUGUGAUACUGGAUGGCUUGAAAUUUCGGGGAGAGGGAUGCAGAAUUCCAGGUGUAGCGGUGAAAGUGCGUAGAUAUCUGGAGGAAUACCGGUGGCGAAGGCGGCAUCCUGGACCGACAUGACGCUGAACGGCGAAAGCUAGGGGAGCAAACGGG